This 252-nucleotide ribosomal RNA is filed under the name uncultured bacterium. Its description in RNAcentral is "partial 16S ribosomal RNA". It matches the Rfam family "Bacterial small subunit ribosomal RNA", at positions 524 to 776 of the family's 1533-position model. The record is from RNAcentral.
UACGUAGGUCCCGAGCGUUGUCCGGAUUUAUUGGGCGUAAAGCGAGCGCAGGUGGUUUAUUAAGUCUGGUGUAAAAGGCAGUGGCUCAACCAUUGUAUGCAUUGGAAACUGGUAGACUUGAGUGCAGGAGAGGAGAGUGGAAUUCCAUGUGUAGCGGUGAAAUGCGUAGAUAUAUGGAGGAACACCGGUGGCGAAAGCGGCUCUCUGGCCUGUAACUGACACUGAGGCUCGGAAGCGCAGGGAGCAAACAGG